AAAUGGCCGCAGUAUUUUAACUGUGCAAAGGUAGCAUAAUCAUUAGUCUUUUAAUUGAAGGCUUGUAUGAAUGGCUGGACGAAAUAUUAACUGUUUCAUGAAAAUUGAUUUAGAAUUUUAUUUUUUAGUCAAAAAGCUAAAAUGAUUUUGAAAGACGAGAAGACCCUAUAGAUCUUUAUAAUUUAUGUAUUAUAGUUAUUUAGAUUAUUUAAAUUAUGAUUAUAUAGAUUAUUUUGUUGGGGUGACAUUAAAAUUUAAUUAACUUUUAAUUUAAUUUUACAUUAAUUUAUGAAUGUUUGAUCCACUAAUAGUGAUUAUAAAAUUAAGUUACCUUAGGGAUAACAGCGUAAUUUUUUUGAAGAGUUCAUAUCGAUAAAAAAGAUUGCGACCUCGAUGUUGGAUUAAGAUAUAAUUUUGGGUGCAGCAAUUCAAUUAUUAAGUC
Molecule: ribosomal RNA, 442 nt
Filed under: Cyclotelus pictipennis
Lineage: Eukaryota; Metazoa; Arthropoda; Insecta; Diptera; Therevidae
Description: partial 16S ribosomal RNA
Rfam family: Bacterial large subunit ribosomal RNA
Source: RNAcentral